Portunus trituberculatus (swimming crab) is the source of this 455-nucleotide long non-coding RNA. RefSeq lists it as uncharacterized. The transcript has 3 exons. The record is from RefSeq and is a predicted model, not a curated record. Lineage: Eukaryota; Metazoa; Arthropoda; Malacostraca; Decapoda; Portunidae.
CAUGGAGUCGCCCAGAUCCUUUCCCUGUGGACCAUCCCCUCAGCAGUGUUCGAUCCGCCCACCAGCAUCACCAACGGUCAGGAGAAGACGGUCAUUGAAGUGUCAAGUCCCCAAGCUGGCAUGGUGGUGGGUGUUGUGCUGGGUUCCCUCGGGGUUCUUUGCUUUGCUGUUGGGCUAAGUCAAAUGUUUGUCGGGUUCCUGAAGAUGCGUCGACGUGUUAUAAUCUGCGCAAGCUUCCCCAACCCAGCCAGUGUACCACAAGACAACAGGCACUGAAGAGGACGGGAGGAGGGAGCGAGCGGCUCCAUGCACCAUUCAACAGGACGGCAUUGUAUUCCUCCCACAGGAGUGACUACAGCGAAGCAAGCCCAGAAUAAAGCGUUGAGUAACCGUGAUGAUUCGGUACUACUAACACCAAACAAGUGAGGGAAGUGUUUGGAGUGAGCGUGCAAGAC